CCUACGGGAGACAGCAGUGAGGACUAUUGGUCAAUGGACGAGAGUCUGAACCAGCCAAGUAGCGUGAAGGAUGACUGCCCUAUGGGUUGUAAACUUCUUUUAUAAAGGAAUAAAACGAGGCACGUGUGCCUUUUUGCAUGUACUUUAUGAAUAAGGAUCGGCUAACUCCGUGCCAGCAGCCGCGGUAAUACGGAGGAUCCGAGCGUUAUCCGGAUUUCUUGGGUUUAAAGGGAGCGUAGAUGGGUUGUUAAGUCAGUUGUGAAAGUUUGCGGCUCAACCGUAAAAUUGCAAUUGAUACUGGCAGUCUUGAGUACAGUAGAGGUAGGCGGAAUUCGUGGUGUAGCGGUGAAAUGCUUAGAUAUCACGAAGAACCCCGAUUGCGAAGGCAGCUUACUAAACUGUGACUGACAUUGAUGCUCGAAAGUGUGGGUAUCAAACAGGAUUAGAUACCCCAGUAGUC
Molecule: ribosomal RNA, 460 nt
Filed under: uncultured bacterium
Lineage: Bacteria
Description: partial 16S ribosomal RNA
Rfam family: Bacterial small subunit ribosomal RNA
Source: RNAcentral